Molecule: ribosomal RNA, 253 nt
Filed under: uncultured bacterium
Lineage: Bacteria
Description: partial 16S ribosomal RNA
Rfam family: Bacterial small subunit ribosomal RNA
Source: RNAcentral
GACAGAGGAUGCAAGCGUUAUCCGGAAUGAUUGGGCGUAAAGCGUCUGUAGGUGGCUUUUCAAGUCCGCCGUCAAAUCCCAGGGCUCAACCCUGGACAGGCGGUGGAAACUACCAAGCUGGAGUACGGUAGGGGCAGAGGGAAUUUCCGGUGGAGCAGUGAAAUGCAUUGAGAUCGGAAAGAACACCAACGGCGACAGCACUCUGCUGGGCUGACACUGACACUGAGAGACGAAAGCUAGGGGAGCAAAUGGG